This 366-nucleotide unclassified non-coding RNA is filed under the name Hevea brasiliensis (rubber tree). Lineage: Eukaryota; Viridiplantae; Streptophyta; Magnoliopsida; Malpighiales; Euphorbiaceae. The record is from RNAcentral.
UCAAUGCCAAACAGGGCUAUAAUGUUGACUUCAUAUUGUUUCGUUGCAAUAUUCAACCUAUGGUUCUCAUAGAUCCUAGCUUCCUGCAAUAUCAAUUUUUCUUCCGUCUGUUCUUUGUAAUUUUUCUAUGGCCAUCUCUUUGAAAUUUCAAUUUUGAGGUUUAUCCUAACUUGCCUUAGUAAUUACAAUGGCCUUUGGAAGUGAUUUUAGUCCUCCUCUCCUGCCUUUCCAAACUACUAGCCAAAGUGGUUUUUGGAAUUGAAUACGUGUGAUGUUGUUCAACGAUGGUGUAUUAGAAGAAAUUAUGGCAGUUGUUGGUGGUAGGUUAGGAAAAAUUACAACGUUUGGAGAGAGAGAGAGAGAGAG